This 253-nucleotide long non-coding RNA is filed under the name Brachypodium distachyon (stiff brome). RNAcentral describes it as "long non-coding RNA (BDIS_LNC004978)". Lineage: Eukaryota; Viridiplantae; Streptophyta; Magnoliopsida; Poales; Poaceae. The record is from RNAcentral.
CCCUCCAGUGAUCCUUUUCCUUGUGUUAGAAUUUUCUUAGACAUAUAUUUUGACUUCGGAAUCUUAGUACAGUAACUUAUAGUUUUAUCAGGAAUUUUUGUUUCUAAUUUUCUUUUUCAGUUUAUUCAUUCUUUUAUACCAAGUUUUAUUGAAUUUUGAUGCAACUUAUAGCUUUAUCAGGGAUCUUUGUUGUUGUUUUUUGUUUUAGUUUAUUCGUCCCUUUAAAAUAUUUUAUAUUUGAUCUAAUAAGUCA